UGGGGAAUUUUGGACAAUGGGCGCAAGCCUGAUCCAGCCAUGCCGCGUGAGUGAAGAAGGCCUUCGGGUUGUAAAGCUCUUUCAGCCGGAAAGAAAACGACACGGGUUAAUAACCUGUGUGGAUGACGGUACCGGAAGAAGAAGCACCGGCUAACUACGUGCCAGCAGCCGCGGUAAUACGUAGGGUGCGAGCGUUAAUCGGAAUUACUGGGCGUAAAGCGUGCGCAGGCGGUUUUGUAAGACAGAUGUGAAAUCCCCGGGCUUAACCUGGGAACUGCAUUUGUGACUGCAAGGCUAGAGUACGGCAGAGGGGGGUAGAAUUCCACGUGUAGCAGUGAAAUGCGUAGAUAUGUGGAGGAAUACCGAUGGCGAAGGCAGCCCCCUGGGUCGAUACUGACGCUCAUGCACGAAAGCGUGGGGAGCAAACAGGAUUAGAUACCCUGGUAGUCCACGCCCUAAACGAUGUCAACUAGGUGUUGGGGGGAGAGACUUCCUUAGUACCGCAG
RNAcentral lists this ribosomal RNA (506 nucleotides) under uncultured Pseudomonadota bacterium. RNAcentral describes it as "bacterial SSU rRNA". It matches the Rfam family "Bacterial small subunit ribosomal RNA", at positions 355 to 851 of the family's 1533-position model. Lineage: Bacteria; Pseudomonadati; Pseudomonadota. The record is from RNAcentral.